GGGAUAUAUAUAUGAGGAGAGAAAAAGGGGGAGAUAAAAUAAUAGUAGAUUAAAAUACAUAAUAUAAUUAUAAUACAUCUAAAAAAUAUAUUAUAAAAAGGGAGUAAUUUCAAAAUCCACAUUCAAACCAUCAGGAGUCAGGGUAUUGAGGUUGAACAUCCACCUCAUUUCUGCUUUGCUUAAAAUAUUAUCUUUACAACCCCCUCUCCAAUGGACUUUAAUUUUUUCUAUGCCUAUGAAUUGAAGUCCCUCUGGGUUACCAUUAUGGUGGUCUAAAAAGUGCUUUGAAACGCUAUGAUUAAUAAAUUUUUUCUUUAUAUUAUUAAUAUGUUCUCCUAUUCUGACUUUCAGUUUUCUUAUCGUUUUACCCACAUAAUGAUAACCGCAUGGACAAGUUAAGAGGUAUAUAACAUUGGUUGUAUUGCAC
This 427-nucleotide long non-coding RNA is filed under the name Pelobates cultripes (western spadefoot toad). The record is from RNAcentral. Lineage: Eukaryota; Metazoa; Chordata; Amphibia; Anura; Pelobatidae.